RNAcentral lists this ribosomal RNA (889 nucleotides) under uncultured Actinomycetales bacterium. RNAcentral describes it as "bacterial SSU rRNA". It matches the Rfam family "Bacterial small subunit ribosomal RNA", at positions 8 to 916 of the family's 1533-position model. The record is from RNAcentral. Lineage: Bacteria; Bacillati; Actinomycetota; Actinomycetes; Actinomycetales.
AGAGUUUGAUCCUGGCUCAGGACGAACGCUGGCGGCGUGCUUAACACAUGCAAGUCGAGCGGAAAGGCCCUUCGGGGUACUCGAGCGGCGAACGGGUGAGUAACACGUGAGCAACCUGCCCCUGGCUCUGGGAUAGCCUCCGGAAACGGGGAUUAAUACCGGACAUUCUCCUUCUUCCGCAUGGUUGAGGGUGGAAAGUUUUUUCGGCCGGGGAGGGGCUCGCGGCCUAUCAGCUUGUUGGCGGGGUAACGGCCCACCAAGGCGACGACGGGUAGCCGGCCUGAGAGGGCGACCGGCCACACUGGGACUGAGACACGGCCCAGACUCCUACGGGAGGCAGCAGUGGGGAAUAUUGCGCAAUGGGCGGAAGCCUGACGCAGCGACGCCGCGUGGGGGAUGAAGGCCUUCGGGUUGUAAACCCCUUUCACCAGGAGCGAAUCCAGACGGUACCUGGGGAAGAAGCGCCGGCUAACUACGUGCCAGCAGCCGCGGUAAUACGUAGGGCGCAAGCGUUGUCCGGAAUUAUUGGGCGUAAAGAGCUCGUAGGCGGCCUGUCGCGUCCGCUGUGAAAUCCUGGGGCUUAACCCCGGGCGUGCAGUGGAUACGGGCUGGCUAGAGGCAGGCAGGGGAGAACGGAAUUCCCGGUGUAGCGGUGAAAUGCGCAGAUAUCGGGAGGAACACCGGUGGCGAAGGCGGUUCUCUGGGCCUGUUCUGACGCUGAGGAGCGAAAGCGUGGGGAGCGAACAGGAUUAGAUACCCUGGUAGUCCACGCCGUAAACGUUGGGCGCUAGGUGUGGGACCCUUCCACGGGUUCUGUGCCGCAGCUAACGCAUUAAGCGCCCCGCCUGGGGAGUACGGCCGCAAGGCUAAAACUCAAAGGAAUUGACGG